UCCCUGGUGGCCCAGUGGCUAAGACUCUGCGCUCCCUAUGCAGAGGGCCUAGGUUCAAUCCCUGGUCAGGGAA
Molecule: transfer RNA, 73 nt
Filed under: Bos taurus (domestic cattle)
Lineage: Eukaryota; Metazoa; Chordata; Mammalia; Artiodactyla; Bovidae
Also listed under: 3 other names
Rfam family: tRNA
About the family: Transfer RNA (tRNA) molecules are approximately 80 nucleotides in length. Their secondary structure includes four short double-helical elements and three loops (D, anti-codon, and T loops).
Source: Rfam by way of RNAcentral